This 253-nucleotide ribosomal RNA is filed under the name uncultured bacterium. RNAcentral describes it as "partial 16S ribosomal RNA". It matches the Rfam family "Bacterial small subunit ribosomal RNA", at positions 524 to 776 of the family's 1533-position model. The record is from RNAcentral.
GACGAACCACACAAACGUUAUUCGGAAUUACUGGGCUUAAAGGGUGCGUAGGCUGCGCAGAAAGUUGGGUGUGAAAUCCCUCGGCUCAACCGAGGAACUGCGCCCAAUACUACUGUGCUCGAGGGAGACAGAGGUGAGCGGAACUUAGGGUGGAGCGGUGAAAUGCGUUGAUAUCCUAAGGAACACCCGUGGCGAAAGCGGCUCACUGGGUCUCUUCUGACGCUGAGGCACGAAAGCUAGGGUAGCGAACAGG